This 936-nucleotide ribosomal RNA is filed under the name uncultured archaeon. RNAcentral's name for it is "bacterial SSU rRNA". It matches the Rfam family "Archaeal small subunit ribosomal RNA", at positions 1 to 926 of the family's 1478-position model. The record is from RNAcentral.
UUCCGGUUGAUCCUGCGGAGGCCACUGCUAUGGGGGUCCGACUAAGCCAUGCGAGUCAUGGGGGUGUCCCUUCUGGGACACCACCGGCGGACGGCUCAGUAACACGUCGGUAACCUACCCUCGGGAGGGGGAUAACCCCGGGAAACUGGGGCUAAUCCCCCAUAGGUGUGGGGUACUGGAAGGUCCCCACACCGAAAGGGGCUUCGUGCCCGCCCGAGGAUGGGCCGGCGGCCGAUUAGGUAGUUGGUGGGGUAACGGCCCCACUAGCCUACGACGGGUACGGGCUGUGGGAGCAGGAGCCCGGAGAUGGACCCUGAGACAAGGGUCCAGGCCCUACGGGGCGCAGCAGGCGCGAAACCUCCGCAAUGCGCGCAAGCGCGACGGGGGGACUCCGAGUGCCCUGGCCUUUGGUCAGGGCUUUUCCGGAGUCUAAAAAGCUCCGGGAAUAAGGGCUGGGCAAGACGGGUGCCAGCCGCCGCGGUAAUACCCGCAGCUCGAGUGGUGGCCACUAUUAUUGGGCCUAAAACGUCCGUAGCCGGCCUGGUAAAUGCCCGGGUAAAUCGUGAGGCUCAACCUCACGAAUUCCGGGUAGACUGCCAGGCUUGGGACCGGGAGAGGCCGGAGGUACUCCAGGGGUAGGGGUGAAAUCCUAUAAUCCCAGGGGGACCGCCAGUGGCGAAGGCGCCCGGCUGGAACGGGUCCGACGGUGAGGGACGAAGGCCAGGGGAGCGAACCGGAUUAGAUACCCGGGUAGUCCUGGCUGUAAAGGAUGCGGGCUAGGUGUCGGACGAGCUUCGAGCUCGUCCGGUGCCGAAGGGAAGCCGUUAAGCCCGCCGCCUGGGGAGUACGGCCGCAAGGCUGAAACUUAAAGGAAUUGGCGGGGGAGCACUACAAGGGGUGGGAGCGUGCGGUUUAAUUGGAUCAACGCCGGAAAAU